Long non-coding RNA from Daphnia pulicaria, 221 nucleotides. RefSeq lists it as uncharacterized. The transcript has 2 exons. The record is from RefSeq and is a predicted model, not a curated record. Lineage: Eukaryota; Metazoa; Arthropoda; Branchiopoda; Diplostraca; Daphniidae.
GACCUGUCAGAAACAAGACGAAAUUUGUGCAUUCGUUACGGUGUGUUAUAUUUGAAUAGGAAUACUUUGAAUUGAGUUCAGAAGGAUGCUGGCUACUUCGUCGACUCGCUCCAGUGCAAUUCGGCCGGGGAGCUGUGGAUCGUCCUUCUGCUGCCCUCGAGUGUUGGAUGACGCCAGGCUCAAUUAACUGACCAGGGCACGCUGUCCAUACUAUUUUUUCC